RNAcentral lists this long non-coding RNA (1201 nucleotides) under Homo sapiens (human). RNAcentral's name for it is "MIR4300 host gene". The record is from RNAcentral. Lineage: Eukaryota; Metazoa; Chordata; Mammalia; Primates; Hominidae.
CUCUCCCUCCACACCUCCCCGCAACUGAGGGAGCCGGCUCCGGCCUCGGCCAGCCCAGAAAGGGGCUCACACAGUGCAGGGCCGGGCUGAAGGGCUCCUUAAGGGCGGCCAGAGUUGGCGCCAAGGCUGAGGAGGUGCCCAGAGCGAGCGAGGGCUGCCAGGGCUGCUAGCAGGCUGUCACCUCUCAAUAGCAGUUUUGUAUAUGGGAUCUAGCCCCUCCCUAAGAGGUUGAUUCUAAGGAAGCCAACAGCCGUGUUGUGAGUACCCAAUGGAAAGUCUGUUGUGGCAGAAAACUGAUGUCUCCAGCCAACAGCACUGAGGCCCUGAGACCUGCCAACUGUCAUGAUCUUCCGAUGCCUGGACACAGAAAGAGCAGUGGAAGGGGUCGUUGCAUGAGCAAAGACAAAGAGUGGGACACUGACUGUUACAUCUCAAGGAGAAGGAUUGCCAGAUCAAAAGUCUUGCAGUUAACCAGGCGUGGUGGCAGAUACCUGUAAUCCCAGCUAUUCGGGAGGCUGAGGCAGGAGAAUCGCUUGUACCCGGGAGGCAGAGGUUGCAGUGAGCUGAGACCGCGCCAUUGACUCCUGCCUGAUGACAAGAGAGAAUCUACGUCUCAACAACAACAACACGCUUGGGCACUGUAUUAACUCCAUAAUCGCCUCUGUGCUCUUUCCCCUGUGGACAAUAACUACCAUUUCAUCCUGGACACCCAUUGUUUGCCUGGACCACACCUUGUUAUGACCAUAACCCUCAGUCAGACUCAACCUUCCUUCAAGAUCUGCAGAUCUAAAUUUUAUUGGGAACAGCUAGUUUGACAAGCAUAGACCAGAUGUCCAGUUGUCAUUCAUUCAGCAGGAGCAGCAAGAUUCAAUCAUGUUUUUAUUAUAUUAUUUCCUGAAACUUGUGGCUGUAACAAUGAAGUUUGAGGAUUGGUCUGUGUAAGUAUGGCAGAAGUGAUGUUAAGUCGCUUAUGAGAUUAGGGUAUAAAAGACUAAGGCUUCCAUGCUUCCAUCUUGGUCUCUGUCUCUCAGAGAACAGUCAUGUGAAUGAUUCUUCUUGAAAGUAAAUCUUCCAGCCCCAGUCCAGUAUUCAAAUGAUCCAGCAACAUUGCAACUUAUGAGAGACCUUGAGCCAUCCAGGUAACAUGCUUCCAAAUCCUGACCCUUAAAACCUGUAAAAUAAUAAAUGUGGUUUUAAACUC